Molecule: long non-coding RNA, 2507 nt
Organism: Carcharodon carcharias (great white shark)
Lineage: Eukaryota; Metazoa; Chordata; Chondrichthyes; Lamniformes; Lamnidae
Exons: 2
Source: RefSeq, a predicted model, not a curated record
UGGAGGAGGAAGAGAAGGGAAUGGGCAGAGUGGGUGGGCUCUCUGAUUGACAUCUCUCACAGCCAAUCCAGAUAUUUAUGGAGUAACAUGAGUUUCCUGAAGCUUGGGGAACUGACCAGUGAAACGGAGGCGACUUUGAGCAGCAAAUCAGUGCCUGGGAAGAUGGGGGCUGGGUGGAGGAAAGAAAUUAACAACGUUGUCUGCUCCUGGUCAGAAUCCAGUGACCUUGCUGGAAACAGAGGGUGUGUGACAGUCAUGUAAGGAAAAGAAAGGGCUUGCACCUGAUUCCCCCACACAAGGGAAUACCAGACUAGAACUCACUGUGAAACAAUCUCUAACUGAGGAGUCAGCCCUUCGGCAAAGGAGGAGAGGGAGUUGGAGGAAAUCAUGUUUCCUUUUCCUGUUUACAGAAGGAUUGCACCUUACUACACCAGAGAAUACAGAGAGGAUAGACACCACAGAUAAAUCCUGACCAUCAACCAAGGAACAAUUGCACAACUGUGGGAAGACAUCCAGACCCUUCACAGCAUUGCUCAGCACAGAAGGUUGGGCAGUAAAACCAUCAUCUGGAAAUCGUUUGGGUCAGGGGAACUUUGACAUAUCAUCAGAUCUGAAAUUGGUCAGUGGUGUGGAACCUUCCAUCAGAGCCAACCUUUCCAAAGGUUCAGCUGUGGGCGAUCAGUCAGGGUGAGGCUGGGAAGAAGUGUGAGUGGGCUCCAAGUGUGGUGAGAGCUUCAAUCAUUCAAGCCUCAUAAACCACUGACUCAUUCCUACAAGUGAGGGGCUGUUCAAGUGUGAUGUGUGUGAGGAGGGAUCCACUGGCUCAUAAGAUCUCCUAGCAUAUAAGGUGCAUCUGUUUUAUCACCUGUAACACAACUGCAGCUACAUGGUAGAGAAACCAUUCAAGUGUGAGAUGUGCAACCAAGCCUUCGCCCAAUCAUCAACACUCAUGAAUCAUCAACACAACCACGCUGGGGAGAAACCGUUCAAGCGUUGAGGUUUCUAACAGGCUCUUUGCACAGUCAUCGACCCUGGUGAGUCACUGGCGUAUUCACACAGGGGAGAAACCAUUCACUUGUGAGGUGUGCAACAAAUCAUUCUCCAUGUCGUUGACCUUCCACGUACACCAAUGCAUUCAUACCGGGGAGAAACCAUUCAAAUGCGAUGUGUGCAACAAAUCCUUCUCGAGCUCAUCGAAGCUCCUGCUACAUCAGAGGAUUCACAUGAGAGAAACUGUUCAAAUGUGAGAUGUGAGACAAGGCUUUCACAGUCAGCGUAUCUCCUGGUCCAUCAACACACUCACACAGGGGGAAGGAAGUGAUCUUUGUGAUAGAGAGGGUAUGGGUUCAGAAGCUCUGUUGGAGGUUGAAUAGAACAAAUAUUGUUGGAGAUGAGAUUGGAGGGGAAACGGAGAGGACUUUAAAAAAUGUUGGAACCUGAGUAAUCCCUCCAGUCUUUUAAGUAAUUCAGGUAUAUCAUGGCUGAUCUGUACCUGCCUUGGCUCUGUAGCCCUGAACCUUCCCUAAUAAAAUUCUAUCAAUCACAGUUUUAAAAUUUUCAAUUGACUUCCAGGUCAAAUUUUUCUGUGGAGUUCCAGAUUUCCAUUACUGUUACAAUGUCUAGUUUUGAUGUUACAAAUUUUUAGAAGAAUUGUUUUGAAAGUCACAUUUUGUAAAUGUUGGACUGAGUUUUAAAACUGUUUCCAAAAUAAACUCCAAGUGUCAUGUGAUUUUCUCCUUUUGGAUUCGGGCUGUAACCCCUUCAGCCAGACAAAGAGGAGGCAUCCUCAGACAUAUACCUUUAAAAUUCAAUGAGUGGUCCAAAAGAGUAAAGAGAAGCUCAUUGACUUGAUGGCUUUUCCACCAAACACAAAAAAACUAAAAAGUCACUGUAAAGCGUGAACAACCUUGGCCCUUUGAUCACUUCACGGGGUAAGGAGACUUCGGAUAACUGUAAUGGAAUUACCACAUGCCUUUUUGGAAAGUGACUGGGCUUUCUUGUACAGGUCACAUGGUAAUAGUGGUCAUCUUGUCUUGCCUGCAAAAAGCAUUGAAAAGGGCUGGUAAAGGCAGAUCCACCUUGAAGAUGGUUCAACCUAGGGAGAGACAGAGAAAGGCAUCUAAGAAAGAUCCUCGUCUGAUGUAAAGUAAUUAGGUAGCUAAAUGUGCCACACCAGCAGAAGGAACCUUCUCUCCUCCCUGUAAAUCAGAUUCCACCUACAAAUCUCACCUGUUAAAGCAAUCUCAGGCAAUUUGACAGUAGAAACCAUCAUAGCUGCAGAGACAUCUCUACAAUACCAAGACCUUCACUUCUGACAAUGCAACAUCUCGAUUUCAAAACCUAUCAGGCCUGUACCGAAUAUAGACUAAAUGGAACCAAUGUUUAUAAGUAUUGUUUUAUCUUAAUCUGUAAUUAAUCUUUGUGUGUAUUUGUGAGUUGUAUCAUUUUUCCUUAAGGAACUUCCAGAGCAAGAGUUUUGAAAUAAACUAACCUAUCCUUUUCAAGUA